Balaenoptera ricei (Rice's whale) is the source of this 2621-nucleotide long non-coding RNA. RefSeq lists it as uncharacterized. The record is from RefSeq and is a predicted model, not a curated record. The transcript has 4 exons. Lineage: Eukaryota; Metazoa; Chordata; Mammalia; Artiodactyla; Balaenopteridae.
CCGCAGGCCCGCGCCCCGCCGCCCGGCCCGGCCGCCGCCGGCGCUUCCUGCUCGCGACUUCCUGGGGCGGCGCGUGGAGGCCCCGGCGGCCCUUUCACUUUCCUGAGGCCGCGGGGCGCCCGGCCGGGCGGCGGCGGCGGCGGCGGCUCGGCCCCUCCCCCUCCGACUCAUCCCCUCCCCGGAGCGCACCCGGGGGCCCAGCCAGCCCCGGGGAGGCCGGGCGGGGACGCCCCCACGAGGAGAGCCCGGGCCACCGCCGCCCAGGAGUCCUCCCCGCGGUCCCCGCUCCAUGCACCUGCCUGCGGGCGCCCGGGCUUGAGUUCAAAACUGACCAAAGAGGAGCUCCCCAAGGACCCUUUGUCCUCAAGAACAAGAGGAACAGACCAAAUGAGAGGCACAUUCACUCUUAUCCAACAGAUGUGUCUUGGGUGCCUACCGGGGCCAGAGCGUGCCAGGCACUGAGGCCUCAGUCAACAGGGGCCUUGCCUUUGCAGAAUCCACAGAGCAAGAGGCCUGCGGCAAGAGUGGGCUGUCGCCGAUGCGAGCGUGAGGAAGGGACUUGGGUUCACUUCCUGGGGCGGCCAUAACAAAAGACCUCAGACUGGGGGGCUUAAGACAAUGGACGUUUACGGUCUCACAGGUCUGGAGGCCACAGGUCUAGAUCAAGAUGCUGGCGGGGCCGUGCUCCUUCUGAAGCCUCCAGGGGAGAAUGGGUUUUGUGCCCUUCUCUCAGCUUGCGGCGUCGCUGGCAAUUCUGGGUGUUUCUUAGCUUGUAGGUGCAUCGCUCUAAUCGGCCUCUGUUGUCACCUGGCCUGUCUGUGUUCACAUCAUCUCUUCUCCGUGUGUCUGUGUCUCUGUGUCCCCCCUCUUGUAAGGACACCAGUCAUGUUGGACUUAGGCUGUACCCUACUCCGGGAGGACUUCAACGGAACUGACUGUAUCCGCAAUGAUCCUAUUUCCAAGCUGUGCCGGGUCUUAGUUGCGGCGUGCAUGUGGGAUCUAGUUCCCCCUUCAGGGAUCGAACCCGGGCCCCCUGCGUUGGGAGUGCGGAGUCUUACCCACUGGACCACCAGGGAAGUGCAUGGACAUUCUCAAGCAUAGACAGAAGUGGAGAGAACAUUAUAAAGAAGCCCCAGGCAGACAAGAGUCCACACGCCAAGGAGCCGUAGCCUGACCAAGAAUGGAGGAGCAGGUCUGCCGGGUCCCCAGGGGCCCAGAGAGGAGACGGCCAGGCCUCCGGCCGCCUGGGGCUGCAGAUCUCUUGAUUCGACCCUAGAUGACUCACGUAUUCUGUGAGUCACCCCUUCUGUCCCCACCCAAGGCUCUCCUCCUGGAUGGGAAAAGCCCAGGCAGCAGCCUUAACAGCACUUAGAAUUAUCCUCGGGGAUGUCAGAGAGCUAGAUCUCGUCUGCAAAGCAAGAGGUCUAAGCUGGACAGUAAAGUCGCAGUGUACUCGUCGUCUUUAGAAACGUGGAGAAAAGGCUAAGAGUGGAAAGCAGUUGCCUCUGGGCUGUGAGAAGAGGCACAAAAAGGACAAAGCCGUGUAUUUUCAAACAAACAGAAUAAAAAUAAACAUUAAUGUUAAAAAAAAAAAAAGAUAGAACGAUGUGCUUAGCCUAGGCAAUGGCUUGUUAGCGCUAGGAUUUUAGACCCCGUGAUACCCGAGUUAGGACGCAUUUGGGGGAGAGGAGCUAUGAUAACACCUAACACUUGAGGCAACUGCCAUUUGCGAGGGUGGUCCUUGGCAAACUGCUCGUGUAAGACAGGUGGGCAAAUGCCCCUGCUUCCAGGGCCCUGGCAGUUUUUCCUAGUUGAGAGCUUUCUUGCUUUUCUUCUGUAUUGGGGUGAGGGGAGUGGUCGCUGGAAGAUGCCUGAGUGCCUUGGGCGUAGCUGGACCCUGACUCCAGCGGGGCUGCUAGAGAGGCUUGCGAUGAAUGCAGGGACUUUCGCUUCCAUCAGUCAAGUGUUCCUGGCAGUGGAGCUCCCCUCUGGAGCUCACGUGUUGCCCGAGUCCGCUGUAAAUUCCUCCUAGUUUUAAGCCUAUAAGGUCGUAGCAGGUCAGGGACAGGGAAAUAGGAAGCUGGUCCAUCAACCAGGGAGUCACCCCUCAGCUGAGCUAGUGCAGAUAAAUAGGAUAAGCAAGUUGGAAUAUUUUUAUAAAGUCUCAGCAAGGCUCGAUACUUUUCAGCCUAGGUGUGGUUUGGUAAAAUAUGUGUUAUAAACCAAGGGGCUGUACUUUAAAUCUCCCUCUGGGCCUGUAUUUGGUGCUUUACGCAGAGAGGGUACUUUUACGUGAAACAAUAUGUUAACAGCCUGGUAGGAGAAUGCAAUUACAGUGGACCCUCUGUAUCCUUGGGUUCUGCAUCUGUGGAUUCAACCAACAAUGGAUGGAAAACAUUCGAAAAACAAAAAUUCCAGAAAGCUCCAAAAAGCAAAACUUGAAGUUGCCGCACACCAACGACUAUUGACACAGCACUGACAUUGUAUUAGGUAUUAGAAGUCAUCUAGAGAUGAUUCAAAGUAUACGGGAGGAUGUGUGUAGGUUAUAUGCAAAUAGGCCAUUUUAUAUAAGGAACUUGAGCAUCCUUGGAGUUUGGUAUCUGCGGGGUGGGCAUGGGGGG